AACGAACGCUGGCGGCAUGCCUAACACAUGCAAGUCGAACGAUUGCCUUCGGGUGAUAGUGGCGCACGGGUGCGUAACGCGUGGGAAUCUGCCCUUAGGUUCGGAAUAACAGCUGGAAACGGCUGCUAAUACCGGAUGAUAUCGCGAGAUCAAAGAUUUAUCGCCUGAGGAUGAGCCCGCGUUGGAUUAGGUAGUUGGUGGGGUAAAGGCCUACCAAGCCGACGAUCCAUAGCUGGUCUGAGAGGAUGAUCAGCCACACUGGGACUGAGACACGGCCCAGACUCGUACGGGAGGGAGCAGUGGGGAAUAUUGGACAAGGGGCGCAAGUCUGAUCCAGCAAUGCCGGGGGAGUGAUGAAGGCCCUAGGGUUGUAAAGCUCUUUUACCCGGGAAGAUAAUGACUGUACCGGGAGAAUAAGCCCCGGCUAACUCCGUG
RNAcentral lists this ribosomal RNA (435 nucleotides) under uncultured bacterium. Its description in RNAcentral is "partial 16S ribosomal RNA". It matches the Rfam family "Bacterial small subunit ribosomal RNA", at positions 29 to 507 of the family's 1533-position model. The record is from RNAcentral.